Molecule: transfer RNA, 72 nt
Filed under: Rattus norvegicus (Norway rat)
Lineage: Eukaryota; Metazoa; Chordata; Mammalia; Rodentia; Muridae
Rfam family: tRNA
About the family: Transfer RNA (tRNA) molecules are approximately 80 nucleotides in length. Their secondary structure includes four short double-helical elements and three loops (D, anti-codon, and T loops). Further hydrogen bonds mediate the characteristic L-shaped molecular structure. tRNAs have two regions of fundamental functional importance: the anti-codon, which is responsible for specific mRNA codon recognition, and the 3' end, to which the tRNAs corresponding amino acid is attached (by aminoacyl-tRNA synthetases). tRNAs cope with the degeneracy of the genetic code in two manners: having more than one tRNA (with a specific anti-codon) for a particular amino acid; and 'wobble' base-pairing, i.e. permitting non-standard base-pairing at the 3rd anti-codon position.
Source: Rfam by way of RNAcentral
AGACAUGUAGCUCAUUUGGUAGAGAACAUGUCUAGCAUGCAUGAAGUCCUGGGUUCAAGUCACAGUACUCUA